GGGGCCUUAAUGGUUUCGACAGGUUGGCGAACGCUGCCCCGUGAUUCAGGUCGAGAGUGAGUCUUCUCUCGGAAAUACCGGGCUCAAAAAAAAAGUAAAUGCGAACAACAUCGUUCCUAUUGCUCGUCGUCAGGCAGUUGCUAUUGCCUAAUUUCCUCUAACGAGGCAUCGAGCGUCUGUAGUCCGACUCCGUUAAAGACCGCAGACACCAACCCCAACGGAUGCUCUAGUAAGCCUUCACUGGUAGACUUGCUAGCUAAGAUAAACCAGUGCAUCCUGUCAUCCGGGAUAAUGGAUGGUUCCCGCCUUGAGGGUCAGAUAGGCUAAACCUGUGAAUGAGCGGUAGGUUAAUACCCAAUUUGGACACGGGUUCGAUCCCCGUAGGCUCCACUU
RNAcentral lists this transfer-messenger RNA (393 nucleotides) under Trichocoleus sp. FACHB-69. It matches the Rfam family "transfer-messenger RNA". Rfam says of the family: Bacterial tmRNA, also known as 10Sa RNA or SsrA, is named for its dual tRNA and mRNA-like properties. Its role is to liberate the mRNA from a stalled ribosome. To accomplish this part of the tmRNA is used as a reading frame that ends in a translation stop signal. RNAcentral also lists the same sequence under 2 other names. Lineage: Bacteria; Bacillati; Cyanobacteriota; Cyanophyceae; Leptolyngbyales; Trichocoleusaceae. The record is from RNAcentral.